GCUGGGCUUGAUGGCACAAGCCUGUAAUCCCAGCAACUCCGAAGGCUGAGGCAGGAGGAUCAAAAGUUAGAGGUCAGCCUCAGCAAUUUAGAACUUGUCUCAA
This 103-nucleotide small RNA is filed under the name Marmota monax (woodchuck). Lineage: Eukaryota; Metazoa; Chordata; Mammalia; Rodentia; Sciuridae. The record is from RNAcentral.